CGGUAGUGGGCGAACCUGCCCUGUACUGGGGAAGAAUCAUUGGAAACGAAUGACUAAUACCGCCAUGUGGUCCUCGGAAGGCAUCUUCUGAGGAAGAAAGGAUUUAUUCGGUACAGGAUGGGCCCGCAUCUGAUUAGCUAGUUGGUGAGAUAACAGCCCACCAAGGCGACGAUCAGUAGCCGACCUGAGAGGGUGAUCGGCCACAUUGGGACUGAGACACGGCCCAA
This 227-nucleotide ribosomal RNA is filed under the name uncultured bacterium. RNAcentral describes it as "partial 16S ribosomal RNA". It matches the Rfam family "Bacterial small subunit ribosomal RNA", at positions 112 to 334 of the family's 1533-position model. The record is from RNAcentral.